CCUACGGGAGGCUGCAGUGGGGAAUAUUGGGCAAUGGAGGGAACUCUUACCCAGCAAUGCCGCGUGAGUGAAGAAGGUAUUCGGAUUGUAAAGCUCUUUCAUUGGGGACGAAAAAAAUGACGGUAGCCAAGGAAUAAGCGCCGGCUAACUACGUGCCAGCAGCCGCGGUACUACGUAGGGGGCAAGCGUUGUUCGGAAUGACUGGGCGUAAAGGGUGAGUCGGCGGUGUAGCAAGUUAGAAGUGAAAUACCCAGGGCUUAACUCAGGUGCUGCUUCUAAAACUGCUAGACUUGAGUGCAGUAGAGGAAAGUGGAAUUCCUAGUGUAGCGGUGGAAUGCGUAGAUAUUAGGAGGAACAUCAGUGGCGAAGGCGACUUUCUGGACUGUAACUGACGCUGAGGCACGAAAGUGUGGGGAGCAAACAGGAUUAGAUACCCCGGUAGUC
Molecule: ribosomal RNA, 444 nt
Filed under: uncultured bacterium
Lineage: Bacteria
Description: partial 16S ribosomal RNA
Rfam family: Bacterial small subunit ribosomal RNA
Source: RNAcentral